AUUGAACGCUGGCGGCAGGCCUAACACAUGCAAGUCGAGCGAGCGGCGGACGGGUGAGUAAUGUAUGGGGACUGCCCGAUAGAGGGGGAUAACUACUGGAAACGGUGGCUAAUACCGCAUACUAUCGGAUAACCCAUAUGGGAUUGGCUAGUAGGUGGGGUAAAGGCUCACCUAGGCGACGAUCUCUAGCCGGUCUGAGAGGAUGAUCGGCCAAACUGGAACUGAGACAGGGCCCAGACUCCUACGGAGGCACCAGUGGGGAAUAUGGCACAGUGGGCGCAGGCCUGAUGAAGCCAUGCCGCGUAUAGGAAGAGGGCCUUAGGGUUGUAAAGUACUUUCAGCGGGGAGGCGUUACCCGCCGAAGAAGCACCGGCUAACUCCGUGCCAGCAGCCGCGGUAAUUC
This 403-nucleotide ribosomal RNA is filed under the name uncultured bacterium. RNAcentral's name for it is "partial 16S ribosomal RNA". It matches the Rfam family "Bacterial small subunit ribosomal RNA", at positions 30 to 526 of the family's 1533-position model. The record is from RNAcentral.